Molecule: ribosomal RNA, 460 nt
Filed under: uncultured bacterium
Lineage: Bacteria
Description: partial 16S ribosomal RNA
Rfam family: Bacterial small subunit ribosomal RNA
Source: RNAcentral
CCUACGGGCGGCAGCAGUGAGGAAUAUUGGUCAAUGGGCGCGAGCCUGAACCAGCCAAGUAGCGUGAAGGAUGACUGCCCUACGGGUUGUAAACUUCUUUUAUAAAGGAAUAAAGUGAGGCACGUGUGCCUUUUUGUAUGUACUUUAUGAAUAAGGCUCGGCUAAAUCCGUGCCAGCAGCCGCGGUAAUACGGAGGAUCCGAGCGUUAUCCGGAUUUAUUGGGUUUAAAGGGAGCGUAGAUGGGUUGUUAAGUCAGUUGUGAAAGUUUGCGGCUCAACCGUAAAAUUGCAAUUGAUACUGGCAGCCUUGAGUACAGUUGAGGUAGGCGGAAUUCGUGGUGUAGCGGUGAAAUGCUUAGAUAUCACGAAGAACUCCGAUUGCGAAGGCAGCCUACUAGACUGCCACUGACAUUGAUGCUCGAAAGUGUGGGGAUCAAACAGGAUUAGAUACCCCUGUAGUC